This 77-nucleotide transfer RNA is filed under the name Bacilli bacterium. RNAcentral's name for it is "tRNA-Arg". It matches the Rfam family "tRNA". Rfam says of the family: Transfer RNA (tRNA) molecules are approximately 80 nucleotides in length. The record is from RNAcentral. Lineage: Bacteria; Bacillati; Bacillota; Bacilli.
GUCCUCUUAGCUCAGCUGGAUAGAGCACUCGCCUUCUAAGCGAGCGGUCACAAGUUCGAAUCUUGUAGGGGACACCA